This is a long non-coding RNA of Trichogramma pretiosum, 2101 nucleotides long. RefSeq lists it as uncharacterized. The record is from RefSeq and is a predicted model, not a curated record. The transcript has 2 exons. Lineage: Eukaryota; Metazoa; Arthropoda; Insecta; Hymenoptera; Trichogrammatidae.
ACAAUCUCUCUAAGAGAUGGCGUUGAUCCCGGUGUACACUCGAGCAGACGAGUGCCAGAUGCAGACCGCAGCAGCCAGCAAAGUAAUCUAACCUAAUCAUGGGCACCGGUGAUGUGUUGUGUUUGUGUAUAAAUUUGACAGGCCGGUGAGAAAGAAAUGCGUACGGAAACUUAUAUUGUCAAUAUUCGUAGUGAUAAUUAUACAAUUUAUUGUUGCCAGCCUCAUUCCAUGGAAUGUGAAAUCAGUGUGUUGAGAAGUAACACCUGAGGAAUAUGUAUAUGAGUCCACUAGUCAUGCACCUAUCCACCAGACUCGACAAAAUGAUUCGUAUAUUUAUAAAUUACAUUAUCCAUACUAUUGAUUUACAAAGGUAGUCCUUGGGAUAAUAAACCUGUCUACAUGUAAUAUACUGAAUUAGUUAUUGGACUCAUGGAAGUCAGUGUAAAUUCUUUAAUCAUUAUUCUACUUGGCUUAAUCACAAAUGUAAGAAAUGCUUAUAAUCAUAAUUCAGGUUAGAUUGUUAUUGUUUUUAUGCACUACCAUUUUCACCUUUGGAUCUAUGCACUUUACAAUGAGAAAUUUCAAAGACGUCUAGAAGAACGAUAUGAAACAUGUAUAUUCUGUCUACUAAUGUUACAUCUAAAGAGCUCGAUGAAGCUGAUAAUGAGUGCAUAAUUGGCAGAUAAGAAAUAAUUAACCAUAAAAUGGAACAGAAAAAGAAACAAGUUGAAGCAGAAAAGAGAAAGAAAAAGAAAAAGAAAAAGAGAUAUCAGGAUGGUGAAUUAGGAGAUGGUGAAUAUGAAAUAGCCGGGUUAGUGUGGUAGAAAUAGCCACUGAUCAAACUCGAAGUGGUGCAGAUGUUCCAACAGUUGCUCAACUUAAUUCGUUUUUGGAAUCUCAUCCUGGUUGGGAACCAAUGGAAUCUGACAGUGAAUAUGAAGAUGAAGAUGAAAAUGGUAAAGAAGAGAAGAAAAUGAGAAACAAAGAACUGAAGAAGAAGAGGAAAAGUCAAGAAUACUAUUCAGAAAGCUGAAGCUGAAUGAUGAUGAGUACAAACUGAAGAACAAAUUUAUUAUAAUAUUGCUCACACUAUCAAUGUAACAGUUACCCAGGAAGCUUUUAUAAUAGUUAAUGGAAAAACUAAAGGAAUAUCAAAUUAGAGGUCUUGAAUGGAUGAUUUCAUUAUUUAAAAACAACCUCAAUGGUAUUUUAGCUGAUGAGAUGGGUUUGGGUAAAACAAUUCAUACUAUAUAUUUGAUAAGUUAUUUUAUGGAGAAAAAGAAAGUAAAUGGCCCACUUCUUAUUUUUGUUCUGUUGUCUACUCUUUUAAAUUGGAUGCUCGAAUUUGAAAAAUGGGCUCCAAGUGUUGUUGUUGUUUCAUGUGAAGGAUCUCCAGCUGGCAGAAAAGCGAUACAAUCUCAAAUACGUGCCACUAAGUUCAAUGUACUACUGACUAUUUACGAGUACAUUAUAAAAGACAAAAGUGUCUUGGCAAAGUUACAGUGAAAAUACAUAAUUAUUGAUGAGGGUUACAGAAUGAAAAAUCAUCACUGUAAAUUAUUGUCAAACAGCAAAAUGUUCUUGUGCACACUUCUUGUUUGUGACCAUAGUUCCAACAUCAACAUAGAUGCUCCACCUGCAGACUAAAUAUUUUAAGACAAAUUAGCUUCUAGCUCUUACUGAAUUAGAGAAUCUGAGACAGAGAAGGCUUUUUUGCCUUUGCCAAUAAGUUUUCUGUUUACUAAAUUUGACAAUACUAAUUUAAAAAUGAAACUAUUUUUUCUACAUGCAUUAACAAUUUAUAUUUGGGAUAUUAGUAAAGAAAAUGUAAUCCACGAAAUAAAUAGUUUUACAAUUGGAUUAUUACUGUAAAAUUGCACAAUGUAUUACUGGGAAAUCGUAAAUUCUGUAAAAAAGAUUGAGAUAUAUUUUAGAAAGUAUCAAUAAAGAUUUUGUAAUUGGAUCUAUUACAUGUAAUAUUACAAGUGAUAAUGUUGUGUAUAUAGCAGGUAUAGUGAAUGGAUUGUUGUGAUUUAACCAAUGAUGAUUAGGCCUAGGGCAAUAUUUACUCUAUUGACAAUAAACGUUAAGAAUACCAGAA